AUAAAUCCAUAGAAGAAGAAGAAGAAGAGUGACGUAUCAAGCGGAUGAGGAUUGAGAUCUGAUGUUCGUGCUGGUCAUAUCGUACGCUUAAAACAGAUAAUACUACAGCUUUCAGAUGUCUGAGCAUGUCUAUGAGAAGUUCCUUGCUCCAGAGGAGCCAUUUCCACUGCUUUCACAGGGAGGAAACUUCAGUGAAAAUGCCACACUGGAUAUUAGCGACUUUGGGUGUCAGUUGUCAUCAUGUCACCGAACAGACCCUUUACACCGCUUUCACAGCAGCAGACAGUACCGCCACAAAUAGUACCCUGUCAUCAUAGCGACACCUUUCGUUCCUUGUUGCCCCAUCAAGCUCUCGCUGGAUCCUCUCUUCGGAAACCAAACAAAGGAAAGUCUGCACCUCCUCGUUUG
This is a non-coding RNA of Pimephales promelas (fathead minnow), 408 nucleotides long. The record is from RefSeq and is a predicted model, not a curated record. Lineage: Eukaryota; Metazoa; Chordata; Actinopteri; Cypriniformes; Leuciscidae.